UACAGAGGUGGCAAGCGUUGUUCGGAAUUACUGGGCGUAAAGAGCGCGCAGGCGGUCGUUCAAGUCGAGUGUGAAAGCCCCCGGCUCAACUGGGGAGGGUCACUCGAUACUGAUCGACUUGAAGGCAGGAGAGGGUAGUGGAAUUCCCGGUGUAGUGGUGAAAUGCGUAGAUAUCGGGAGGAACACCAGUGGCGAAGGCGGCUUUCUGGUCUGCUCUUGACGCUGAGGCGCGAAAGCUAGGGUAGCAAACGGG
Molecule: ribosomal RNA, 253 nt
Filed under: uncultured bacterium
Lineage: Bacteria
Description: partial 16S ribosomal RNA
Rfam family: Bacterial small subunit ribosomal RNA
Source: RNAcentral